UACGUAGGGUGCUAGCGUUGUCCGGAAUCAUUGGGCGUAAAGCGCGCGUAGGCGGUCUGGUAAGUCCGCUGUGAAAGUCGGGGGCUCAACCCUCGAAUGCCGGUGGAUACUGUCGGGCUAGAGUGCGGAAGAGGCGAGUGGAAUUCCUGGUGUAGCGGUGAAAUGCGCAGAUAUCAGGAGGAACACCAAUUGCGAAGGCAGCUCGCUGGGACGUUACUGACGCUGAGACGCGAAAGCGUGGGGAGCAAACAGG
RNAcentral lists this ribosomal RNA (253 nucleotides) under uncultured bacterium. RNAcentral describes it as "partial 16S ribosomal RNA". It matches the Rfam family "Bacterial small subunit ribosomal RNA", at positions 524 to 776 of the family's 1533-position model. The record is from RNAcentral.